AGCUUUGCGCAGUGGCAGCAUCGUAGCCAAUGAGGCGCGAUUAUUGCUAAUUGAAAACUUUUCCCAAGAAUG
Molecule: small nuclear RNA, 72 nt
Filed under: Suricata suricatta (meerkat)
Lineage: Eukaryota; Metazoa; Chordata; Mammalia; Carnivora; Herpestidae
Description: U4 spliceosomal RNA (ENSSSUG00005005437.1)
Rfam family: U4 spliceosomal RNA
About the family: U4 small nuclear RNA (U4 snRNA) is a component of the major U2-dependent spliceosome. The structure of U4 snRNA from yeast and human has been reported. U4 snRNA presents a k-turn RNA motif in the 5p-SL related to recognition of Snu13 protein.
Source: RNAcentral